GUUUAAAUAGCUUAAAAAGAGUAUAACAUUGAAGAUGUUAGGGUGAUAGUUUAUCUUUAAAUA
RNAcentral lists this transfer RNA (63 nucleotides) under Nothybus sumatranus. RNAcentral's name for it is "tRNA-Phe". The record is from RNAcentral. RNAcentral also lists the same sequence under 1 other name. Lineage: Eukaryota; Metazoa; Arthropoda; Insecta; Diptera; Nothybidae.